RNAcentral lists this ribosomal RNA (758 nucleotides) under uncultured bacterium. RNAcentral's name for it is "bacterial SSU rRNA". It matches the Rfam family "Bacterial small subunit ribosomal RNA", at positions 8 to 794 of the family's 1533-position model. The record is from RNAcentral.
AGAGUUUGAUCMUGGCUCAGGAUGAACGCUGGCGGCGUGCCUAACACAUGCAAGUCGAGCGAUUUACUUCGGUAAAGAGCGGCGGACGGGUGAGUAACGCGUGGGUAACCUGCCCUGUACACACGGAUAACAUACCGAAAGGUAUGCUAAUACGAGAUAAUAUGCUUUUAUCGCAUGGUAGAAGUAUCAAAGCUUUUGCGGUACAGGAUGGACCCGCGUCUGAUUAGCUAGUUGGUAAGGUAACGGCUUACCAAGGCGACGAUCAGUAGCCGACCUGAGAGGGUGAUCGGCCACAUUGGAACUGAGACACGGUCCAAACUCCUACGGGAGGCAGCAGUGGGGAAUAUUGCACAAUGGGCGAAAGCCUGAUGCAGCAACGCCGCGUGAGCGAUGAAGGCCUUCGGGUCGUAAAGCUCUGUCCUCAAGGAAGAUAAUGACGGUACUUGAGGAGGAAGCCCCGGCUAACUACGUGCCAGCAGCCGCGGUAAUACGUAGGGGGCUAGCGUUAUCCGGAAUUACUGGGCGUAAAGGGUGCGUAGGUGGUUUCUUAAGUCAGAGGUGAAAGGCUACGGCUCAACCGUAGUAAGCCUUUGAAACUGGGAAACUUGAGUGCAGGAGAGGAGAGUGGAAUUCCUAGUGUAGCGGUGAAAUGCGUAGAUAUUAGGAGGAACACCAGUUGCGAAGGCGGCUCUCUGGACUGUAACUGACACUGAGGCACGAAAGCGUGGGGAGCAAACAGGAUUAGAUACCCUGGUAGU